This 333-nucleotide ribosomal RNA is filed under the name Abyssochrysos sp. SBJ-2010. RNAcentral describes it as "eukaryotic LSU rRNA". It matches the Rfam family "Eukaryotic large subunit ribosomal RNA", at positions 41 to 370 of the family's 3401-position model. RNAcentral also lists the same sequence under 1 other name. Lineage: Eukaryota; Metazoa; Mollusca; Gastropoda; Abyssochrysidae. The record is from RNAcentral.
UAUCACUAAGCGGAGGAAAAGAAACUAAAGGAUUCCCCCAGUAACGGCGAGUGAAGCGGGAUGAGCCCAGCACCGAAUCCCCCAGCAUUUCGCGGCGGGAACUGUGGUGUAUGGGACGCCAACGUCGUCCGCACCGGUGGCCGAAGUCCUCCUGAUCGGGGCCUCUCCCAGAGCGGGUGUCAGGCCUUUACAGGCUGCUGGUCGGUCGGCUGCGAGCGUCUCCGGAGUCGGGUUGUUUGGGAAUGCAGCCCUAAGCGGGUGGUAAACUCCAUCUAAGGCUAAAUACUGGCACGAGUCCGAUAGCGGACAAGUACCGUGAGGGAAAGUUGAAAA